Molecule: ribosomal RNA, 370 nt
Filed under: uncultured organism
Description: bacterial SSU rRNA
Rfam family: Bacterial small subunit ribosomal RNA
Source: RNAcentral
CGAAGGGGGCUAGCGUUGCUCGGAAUUACUGGGCGUAAAGGGCGCGUAGGCGGACAGUUUAGUCAGAGGUGAAAGCCCAGGGCUCAACCUUGGAAUUGCCUUUGAUACUGGCUGUCUUGAGUACGGGAGAGGUGUGUGGAACUCCGAGUGUAGAGGUGAAAUUCGUAGAUAUUCGGAAGGACACCAGUGGCGAAGGCGACACACUGGCCCGUUACUGACGCUGAGGCGCGAAAGCGUGGGGAGCAAACAGGAUUAGAUACCCUGGUAGUCCACGCCGUAAACGAUGAGUGCUAGUUGUCGGCAUGCAUGCAUGUCGGUGACGCAGCUAACGCAUUAAGCACUCCGCCUGGGGAGUACGGUCGCAAGAUUA